Molecule: ribosomal RNA, 431 nt
Filed under: uncultured bacterium
Lineage: Bacteria
Description: partial 16S ribosomal RNA
Rfam family: Bacterial small subunit ribosomal RNA
Source: RNAcentral
AACGAACGCUGGCGGCAGGCUUAACACAUGCAAGUCGAGCGCCUCGCAAGAGGAGCGGCAGCCGGGUGAGUAACGCGUGGGAACGUACCCUUAUCUUCGGAAUAGCUCUGGGAAACUGGAAGUAAUACCGAAUGUGCCCUUAGGGGGAAAGAUUUAUCGGAUAAGGAUCGGCCCGCGUUGGAUUAGCUAGUUGGUGGGGUAAAGGCCUACCAAGGCGACGAUCCAUAGCUGGUCUGAGAGGAUGAUCAGCCACAUUGGGACUGAGACACGGCCCAAACUCCUACGGGAGGCAGCAGUGGGGAAUAUUGGACAAUGGGCGCAAGCCUGAUCCAGCCAUGCCGCGUGAGUGAUGAAGGCCUUAGGGUUGUAAAGCUCUUUCAACGGAGAAGAUAAUGACGGUAUCCGGAGAAGAAGCCCCGGCUAACUUCGUG